Eufriesea mexicana is the source of this 362-nucleotide long non-coding RNA. RefSeq lists it as uncharacterized. The transcript has 3 exons. NCBI's taxonomy places the organism in Eukaryota, Metazoa, Arthropoda, Insecta, Hymenoptera, Apidae. The record is from RefSeq and is a predicted model, not a curated record.
AUAUAUCCACAAUUAAAAACUUGGAACUUAACGAAAAAGCUGAAGGAAAAUAAAUCCAUAUCACAAUCAUACUAGAACCAUUUUACAUCUUGAACAAGCUACAAAGGACUUUAUUUCCACUUUUUAUUAGAAUCGAAUUCCAAAUUCUGGAUUCUAGACUAUACCUCCAUAUUGGAUAUUCUCGUACAUUUGAGAAGAAAUUACGAGGAUGAUCCCAUUGUCAGAUGCAGAAAUCUAAUCUCCGGGCUAGAGUGGAUUCCAUUGUGCCCGCACGUCAACGAGCAAGCACCGUGGGACGUGGUAGAGGAAAAAAAACGGCAAGAUGAAAGAGACAGAGUUUCAGUUUCUAUUUUCAUGAAGGA